RNAcentral lists this ribosomal RNA (1374 nucleotides) under Salmonella enterica subsp. enterica serovar Agona. Its description in RNAcentral is "partial 23S ribosomal RNA". It matches the Rfam family "Bacterial large subunit ribosomal RNA", at positions 1578 to 2925 of the family's 2925-position model. The record is from RNAcentral. Lineage: Bacteria; Pseudomonadati; Pseudomonadota; Gammaproteobacteria; Enterobacterales; Enterobacteriaceae.
UACGGUGCUGAAGCAACAAAUGCCCUGCUUCCAGGAAAAGCCUCUAAGCAUCAGGUAACAUCAAAUCGUACCCCAAACCGACACAGGUGGUCAGGUAGAGAAUACCAAGGCGCUUGAGAGAACUCGGGUGAAGGAACUAGGCAAAAUGGUGCCGUAACUUCGGGAGAAGGCACGCUGACACGUAGGUGAAGUGAUUUACUCAUGGAGCUGAAGUCAGUCGAAGAUACCAGCUGGCUGCAACUGUUUAUUAAAAACACAGCACUGUGCAAACACGAAAGUGGACGUAUACGGUGUGACGCCUGCCCGGUGCCGGAAGGUUAAUUGAUGGGGUCAGCGCAAGCGAAGCUCCUGAUCGAAGCCCCGGUAAACGGCGGCCGUAACUAUAACGGUCCUAAGGUAGCGAAAUUCCUUGUCGGGUAAGUUCCGACCUGCACGAAUGGCGUAAUGAUGGCCAGGCUGUCUCCACCCGAGACUCAGUGAAAUUGAACUCGCUGUGAAGAUGCAGUGUACCCGCGGCAAGACGGAAAGACCCCGUGAACCUUUACUAUAGCUUGACACUGAACAUUGAGCCUUGAUGUGUAGGAUAGGUGGGAGGCUUUGAAGUGUGGACGCCAGUCUGCAUGGAGCCGACCUUGAAAUACCACCCUUUAAUGUUUGAUGUUCUAACGUGGACCCGUAAUCCGGGUUGCGGACAGUGUCUGGUGGGUAGUUUGACUGGGGCGGUCUCCUCCUAAAGAGUAACGGAGGAGCACGAAGGUUGGCUAAUCCUGGUCGGACAUCAGGAGGUUAGUGCAAUGGCAUAAGCCAGCUUGACUGCGAGCGUGACGGCGCGAGCAGGUGCGAAAGCAGGUCAUAGUGAUCCGGUGGUUCUGAAUGGAAGGGCCAUCGCUCAACGGAUAAAAGGUACUCCGGGGAUAACAGGCUGAUACCGCCCAAGAGUUCAUAUCGACGGCGGUGUUUGGCACCUCGAUGUCGGCUCAUCACAUCCUGGGGCUGAAGUAGGUCCCAAGGGUAUGGCUGUUCGCCAUUUAAAGUGGUACGCGAGCUGGGUUUAGAACGUCGUGAGACAGUUCGGUCCCUAUCUGCCGUGGGCGCUGGAGAACUGAGGGGGGCUGCUCCUAGUACGAGAGGACCGGAGUGGACGCAUCACUGGUGUUCGGGUUGUCAUGCCAAUGGCACUGCCCGGUAGCUAAAUGCGGAAGAGAUAAGUGCUGAAAGCAUCUAAGCACGAAACUUGCCCCGAGAUGAGUUCUCCCUGAGACUUAGAGUCUCCUGAAGGAACGUUGAAGACGACGACGUUGAUAGGCCGGGUGUGUAAGCGCAGCGAUGCGUUGAGCUAACCGGUACUAAUGAACCGUGAGGCUUAACCUUACA